This 418-nucleotide ribosomal RNA is filed under the name uncultured bacterium. RNAcentral's name for it is "bacterial SSU rRNA". It matches the Rfam family "Bacterial small subunit ribosomal RNA", at positions 358 to 773 of the family's 1533-position model. The record is from RNAcentral.
GGAAUAUUGCGCAAUGGACGAAAGUCUGACGCAGCAACGCCGCGUGCAGGAUGACAGCCCUUCGGGUCGUAAACUGCUGUAGCAAGGGAAUAAUGGGCCGCCCGCGGGCGGAGUUGAAGGUACCUUGAAAGUAAGCUCCGGCUAACUACGUGGCAGCAGCCGCGGUAAUACGUAGGGAGCAAGCGUUGUCCGGAUUCACUGGGUGUAAAGGGUGCGCAGGCGGGUUGGCAAGUCAGUGGUGAAAUCUCACGGCUCAACCGUGAAACUGCCUUUGAUACUGCCAACCUUGAGUUAGAGAGAGGCCGAUGGAAUUCCAGGUGUAGCGGUGAAAUGCGUAGAUAUCUGGAAGAACACCAGUGGCGAAGGCGGUCGGCUGGCUCUACACUGACGCUCAGGCACGAAAGCGUGGGGAGCGAAC